ACGCACGCUGGCGGCGUGCUUAACCCAUGCAAGUCGAACGGUGAAGGGGCCUGCUUUUGUGGGCCCUGGAUGAGUGGCGAACGGGUGAGUAACACGUGAGUAACCUGCCCCCUUCUUCUGGAUAACCGCAUGAAAGUGUGGCUAAUACGGGAUAUUCUGGGUCUGUCGCAUGAUGGGUCUGGGAAAGAUUGCGCCUUUGGGUGUUUUUGGUGGGGGAUGGGCUCGCGGCCUAUCAGCUUGUUGGUGGGGUGAUGGCCUACCAAGGCGGUGACGGGUAGCCGGCCUGAGAGGGUGGACGGUCACACUGGGACUGAGACACGGCCCAGACUCCUACGGGAGGCAGCAGUGGGGAAUAUUGCACAAUGGGCGCAAGCCUGAUGCAGCGACGCCGCGUGAGGGAUGGAGGCCUUCGGGUUGUAAACCUCUUUCGCCAGUGAAGCAGGCCUGCUCCUUGUGGGUGGGUUGACGGUAGCUGGAUAUGAAGCGCCGGCUAACUACGUG
RNAcentral lists this ribosomal RNA (501 nucleotides) under uncultured bacterium. RNAcentral's name for it is "partial 16S ribosomal RNA". It matches the Rfam family "Bacterial small subunit ribosomal RNA", at positions 29 to 507 of the family's 1533-position model. The record is from RNAcentral.